GACCUCUCAAAAAUGAUGGAGAGCGGUUUGACAAUGACCUCUGCCAGCUCCCUCAGCACACGUGGAUGACUACUUACUAGAAGACUACUUACAGGUGUGAGAUACUGAAAAAAAUAAAUAAGUUACAGCCAGAAAGAUUAAUGCAGUGCAAGGGUGAUACAAGAGUGUAACAGAAAAGGGACUACCACAGAGAGGAUGAUAUUCCAAAAGAAAAGUAAAGAUACCCCAUCUCUAAAACUCUAGGCUUACAGGAAAGACUCUACCUGUCAUGCCUUCACCUGUGCUUCCAGGGUGAUGGGGAGGGGGGGCCUUUCCCAGGUGCACUGUGACUCAGCAGUUAUCAUACAAACAUGAUUUUUUUUUUUAAUUGAAGAGAAAACUUUAGCUUAUUUCUGGAACAGUAGAAAUCAAUUUUUGAAGAGCCAGAAUCCACUUACAGAAAAACAGCACAUUGAUUAUAAAUGGUGUUUUCAUCUCUAAUAGAAAUGCUAAGUCAUGACCUGCAGCACUGAUUGAGCACCUGGUGGGAAGGCAGAGUCAACCUAGGGGAGCUCAGGUGCAUGCAAUAGCCCUGAGUGACUGGAAGGGGUGGAGUCAGGAUCCAGCCCUUCUCAGCCCUCAUUUAAGGUUUGGCAGUGGAGCUAAGAAUAUUUCUCUGGAGAUCCUUGUAUGCUGAAGGCCUUCCAAAGACAUGAUCUGCUUCUCUGAAAGAUGCUCAGCUUUUCAGAGGCAUGAGAAUCACCUAGGAAAGGUGGAAUGACAGCCUGCUUUCAGCCUUCAAACCUAAUUUGAUCAUGACAGGAUUACUUCUAAAUUCCAUGAUCUCAACCCUGUUCACUGCUUCUGUGAGCUACAGGACACUGCUGCAUACAGGUGGCAUCCAUCAGUGAAACAAAUCCCUCUUGAUGAAGAUGGGCAGAGGCUGAGCAAUCUGUUGCUGAUACUCCUCAGGAAAGCUCCUGGAAGCCCUUGCUCCAGCUGGCUGCAAUAAGUCUGCAGGUGCCAUCGCUCCAAUCACUGCCACGUAAGCUGAUGGGUAACCCUCUGCUCAGAAUCACAGAGGGGAGUCAGUGUGUGACCUUCUCCUCUGCUAUGAUGGGAACCUCCUGUGCAGUGCUCAGGUGUGACAUACUGCUGUGUGCUUUCUGCAGUGCUGCAAACCCUUAUGCUUAAAGGAAGAGAGCUAUUCUCAUAGGGCUGUGAUUACCUGAGUGUGACCCUGCAGGGAAAAUACUGUACUGAUGGCAACUUCAAAACAGAUCCUCUCCAGUCCAGCUCCUAAGUUGCUCUUCAAGAAUCUGUGAGAGAAGAAAUAAAAAAUACUCAGCUGAUCUAACAGUGGCUGUUAAACUCAAGUACCUCUGUUAGGAUUCUCAUCCCCUCAGCCUCUGCUGCAGUCACUGACUUUGGUAGGUCUCUUUCUACUGAAGCUAGUUUUCUCCAAGACAAAGAGGAGCUGCAGGAGGGCCUUCUGUGAAAGAUCACUGCCAGGCUUCCCUAUGGCAUUACAGCUUUCACCAGGCUGCAGAAAUGCGUCUGAGCCCAGUGCCUGGCGCGUGCCCUGCAGACCUGGGAGCUCAUAAUCAAAAUGGCAAAUGCUUCUCAGACAUGAGCCAGGGGCAGGGCUGACCCUUGCCUAUCCUACCGCAAUACAGAAAAGCUGUUUUUAAAACUAAGCUGGAGUCCAUGUAGGCGUCUCUGGAUGGGUGGCACUGCAGCUGCCAUGCUGGUCCAGGUGCAUCCUGACCCUGGAAUUAGCUCAUGCUAUCUCGAGGACAACUUGGUCUGUAAUAUUUUAGUUUACAGCAGCUGUUGCACAUAAUGUUAUCGCUCUUACAAAGGGAGGCAGAGAUGCAGAGACCUACCAGCCAGAUAAUGAAAGGCCCGACAAAGAACAAAAAGCAGCAGCUAGUCAUUGCAGAGAUACGCCGCUCCCAGGAAAUUAAAAAUAUGCCAACCACGGCACACGCAAUAAACAUCUCCUU
Molecule: non-coding RNA, 1985 nt
Organism: Meleagris gallopavo (turkey)
Lineage: Eukaryota; Metazoa; Chordata; Aves; Galliformes; Phasianidae
Source: RefSeq, a predicted model, not a curated record